UUCUACAGGCUUAACACAUGCAAGUCGAGGGGCAGCAUUUUAGUUUGCUUGCAAACUGAAGAUGGCGACCGGCGCACGGGUGAGUAACACGUAUCCAACCUGCCGAUAACUCCGGAAUAGCCUUUCGAAAGAAAGAUUAAUACCGGAUAGCAUACGAAUAUCGCAUGAUAUUUUUAUUAAAGAAUUUCGGUUAUCGAUGGGGAUGCGUUCCAUUAGUUUGUUGGCGGGGUAACGGCCCACCAAGACAACGAUGGAUAGGGGUUCUGAGAGGAAGGUCCCCCACAUUGGAACUGAGACACGGUCCAAACUCCUACGGGAGGCAGCAGUGAGGAAUAUUGGUCAAUGGGCGAGAGCCUGAACCAGCCAAGUAGCGUGAAGGAUGAAGGCUCUAUGGGUCGUAAACUUCUUUUAUAUGGGAAUAAAGUUUUCCACGUGUGGAAUUUUGUAUGUACCAUAUGAAUAAGGAUCGGCUAACUCCGUGCCAGCAGCCGCGGUAAUACGGAGGAUCCGAGCGUUAUCCGGAUUUAUUGGGUUUAAAGGGAGCGUAGGUGGAUUGUUAAGUCAGUUGUGAAAGUUUGCGGCUCAACCGUAAAAUUGCAGUUGAAACUGGCAGUCUUGAGUACAGUAGAGGUGGGCGGAAUUCGUGGUGUAGCGGUGAAAUGCUUAGAUAUCACGAAGAACUCCGAUUGCGAAGGCAGCUCACUAGACUGUCACUGACACUGAUGCUCGAAAGUGUGGGUAUCAAACAGGAUUAGAUACCCUGGUAGUCCACACAGUAAACGAUGAAUACUCGCUGUUUGCGAUAUACAGUAAGCGGCCAAGCGAAAGCAUUAAGUAUUCCACCUGGGGAGUACGCCGGCAACGGUGAAACUCAAAGGAAUUGACGGGGGCCCGCACAAGCGGAGGAACAUGUGGUUUAAUUCGAUGAUACGCGAGGAACCUUACCCGGGCUUAAAUUGCAACAGAAUAUAUUGGAAACAGUAUAGCCGUAAGGCUGUUGUGAAGGUGCUACAUGGUUGUCGUCAGCUCGUGCCGUGAGGUGUCGGCUUAAGUGCCAUAACGAGCGCAACCCUUAUCUUUAGUUACUAACAGGUGAUGCUGAGGACUCUAGAGAGACUGCCGUCGUAAGAUGUGAGGAAGGUGGGGAUGACGUCAAAUCAGCACGGCCCUUACGUCCGGGGCUACACACGUGUUACAAUGGGGGGUACAGAAGGCGGCUACCUGGUGACAGGAUGCUAAUCCCAAAAACCUCUCUCAGUUCGGAUCGAAGUCUGCAACCCGACUUCGUGAAGCUGGAUUCGCUAGUAAUCGCGCAUCAGCCAUGGCGCGGUGAAUACGUUCCCGGGCCUUGUACACACCGCCCGUCAAGCCAUGAAAGCCGGGGGUACCUGAAGUACGUAACCGCAAGGAGCGUCCUAGGGUAAAACUGGUAAUUGGGGC
This 1440-nucleotide ribosomal RNA is filed under the name uncultured organism. RNAcentral's name for it is "SSU rRNA". It matches the Rfam family "Bacterial small subunit ribosomal RNA". The record is from RNAcentral.